AAAUUGAAGAGUUUGAUCAUGGCUCAGAUUGAACGCUGGCGGCAGGCCUAACACAUGCAAGUCGAACGGUAACAGGAAGCAGCUUGCUGCUUCGCUGACGAGUGGCGGACGGGUGAGUAAUGUCUGGGAAACUGCCUGAUGGAGGGGGAUAACUACUGGAAACGGUAGCUAAUACCGCAUAACGUCGCAAGACCAAAGAGGGGGACCUUAGGGCCUCUUGCCAUCGGAUGUGCCCAGAUGGGAUUAGCUAGUAGGUGGGGUAACGGCUCACCUAGGCGACGAUCCCUAGCUGGUCUGAGAGGAUGACCAGCCACACUGGAACUGAGACACGGUCCAGACUCCUACGGGAGGCAGCAGUGGGGAAUAUUGCACAAUGGGCGCAAGCCUGAUGCAGCCAUGCCGCGUGUAUGAAGAAGGCCUUCGGGUUGUAAAGUACUUUCAGCGGGGAGGAAGGGAGUAAAGUUAAUACCUUUGCUCAUUGACGUUACCCGCAGAAGAAGCACC
This 504-nucleotide ribosomal RNA is filed under the name Escherichia coli. Its description in RNAcentral is "bacterial SSU rRNA". It matches the Rfam family "Bacterial small subunit ribosomal RNA", at positions 1 to 494 of the family's 1533-position model. The record is from RNAcentral. Lineage: Bacteria; Pseudomonadati; Pseudomonadota; Gammaproteobacteria; Enterobacterales; Enterobacteriaceae.